CCAGCAGACCAGCUGCCUGAAGAAGGACUGGAAAAAGCCAGAGUGUACAAUCAAACCAAAUGGGGUGAGUGAAGGGGCUCUUGUUGAUGGGACAGGCUGCCAGGGUAGGAGUUGGAGUCCAGAAAAGUGCUGUGCUCAUCACUGGGGGCUGUCUGCAAAGAAGGGAGGGUGGAGGAAAGGGGGAAAUUUCUCCAUCAGAGUGGGUCCUCCUGAAGAAGCCUCUCUAUGGAGUUUAUCCUGUAUCCUGGCCAGUUCACCAAAGGAUUUCACAGUCAUCGGCCACCCUGGGGGUGACACUGAGGCUAUGGAUGACCUCGGGCUGGAGGUGCAGCACUUUUGAGUUAAGGCUCUUGCUCUCUCUCUAAUAGCUUUGUGGGUUCACUGAAGGUCCUUGUUCCCUCCUGGGGUUAAGGGAAGGGACUGGAUUAUACGGGUGAUUUAGCAGGGCUCUUGGUUUCAAGGACCUUUUGUUCAAAUUAAAUCUUAAAGGGAAAAUGUAAAUAUGAGGCCAAGGUGGCAAGGCCCUCACUGUGCAAGCAUGAGGACCUGAGUUUGCAUUACAGCACCCACGUGAAAACAGCUGGGCAUGGCUAUACCUAGCUUGUCGGCUGCCAGUCUAACUGCAGGUUCAGUGAGAGAUUUUUCUCCAGUGGAAUAAAGCAGGGUGGUGAAGUGAGACACCGAUGUCCUUGUCUGGCAUGUACACAGGCAUGAGUACACACACACACACACACACACACACACACGCACGCACACACACACACACACACACACACACACACACACACGCACGGACACACGCACGCCAGAGAGAAUCAGAGACAGACAGACACCAUCUGGGGAAUUCUUGCCUUUAAACAUGUUUGCACAUUAACACAGGCCCCUGUGAAUACACCCGUGCAGUGUACUACCUGUGAGCAGUACACAUACGCAUGUUCACACAGGAAUGGCCCCUGCACAGGAUAAAGCACUAUAGUCUGCAGGCAAACCAAGGGUAGCACACACUUGAAUGCCAGCAUUGGAGAAGUUAAAGCAGGCAAACUACAAAUUCUAGAUCAGUCUGGGCUACUUGAGACUGUGUCCAAAGGGGAGAACUUCCAAAAUCUCCUCUCAGGGUAAGUUGCAUGUCCAUCUGCUUCUGUUAUUGUUGUCCUGAUAAAAUACCAUCAUCAAGAUCAACUAAUAAUAGGAAAGGUUUAUUUUGGCCUAAGUUUCCAGAGGAAUAAAAGUCCAUCAGGGUGGGAGGUAGGGAGACGUGGAUGCCACCAGAGCAGGAAGCUGAGCACUCACAGCCUUGCAUGUAAACAAGAAGCAGAGUGAAUUGGGAGUGGUCCAAGGUUUUAAAUCUUAAAGCCCGCCCCAGUGAAGUACUUCCUCCAUCAAGGUCAAACCUUCUAAAACUCCCCAAACAGCACCACCAAUUGGAGACCAAGUAUUCAAAUAUCUCGCCCUAUGGGGGACAUUCUUAUUCAAAUCACCACAUCCCUCCACUUUAGAACAGGCCAGGAGGCCAGUCUCCACCCUGACACUCAUGUUCUCCUCCCCAGAGGAAGCGGAAAUGCCUGGCCUGCAUCAAACUGGACCCCAAGGGUAAAGUUCUAGGCCGGAUGGUC
Molecule: long non-coding RNA, 1613 nt
Filed under: Rattus norvegicus (Norway rat)
Lineage: Eukaryota; Metazoa; Chordata; Mammalia; Rodentia; Muridae
Description: long non-coding RNA NONRATT021396
Source: RNAcentral